RNAcentral lists this unclassified non-coding RNA (879 nucleotides) under Hevea brasiliensis (rubber tree). Lineage: Eukaryota; Viridiplantae; Streptophyta; Magnoliopsida; Malpighiales; Euphorbiaceae. The record is from RNAcentral.
GGCUUCUUCUUUUCUCCUGCUCUUUUUCUUUGCUGGCUUCUCCCUUAUUCACGCGCCGUGGAGGUAAAAUGACAACAUUUCCUUAGCUUCAUUGAGAUCCCUCCCUUUACAUGAUCUCAAGGUUUUUUGGGUGAAGUUCUGGUUUUAGUUGACCUACUGUUCCUUUUUUUUUCCCCCUGUUCUUACUGUCCAUUGUCUAUCAAUUUCUUUUGUGCUUGCUAACCCACACGGCAGUUAAUGCUUGAUUGAUAAUUGAUAGAGCCAGUUUCUUCUCCUUUCUUUGUCAAUUUCUUUUGCACUUGCUUUGAGAGUUAGUAGAGGGAUGGGUUAUACCUAUCCUGCUAUUCAUGCUUUGUAACUACCAUUAGCCCUCUGCUUGAUUGACAAUUAGUGGAAGGAUAAGUUGUUUGAGGCGUGAUUUAUGGUGGAAAGCAGGUCUUUGCAUUUCAGGCUGGAGGAAGCAAGCUUUGGCCUUGCUGCUGAAGGAAAUGGAAGGGCAAAAGAAACAACCAUAUGUUUUUCCUUUUAAUGUAUUGAUUGACACUCUUUGUAAGAAAGGGUUAGUCUCAAAUGCUCGAAAUCUAUUAUUUAUAUAAAUGCAACAUUUGAUAAAUAAAAAUCCCAGCUAUAAAGGAUAAAUUUCAACAACUAUCCCUGAACUUAUAUGGUUGUAACACUACAGUCCUUAAACUUUAAAACUAACAUAAAACUCGCUAAACUUUUAAAUUUUGCAUAGUAAAAUCUCUCUGACUUUCAAUUACUAAUUUUUCAGUUAGAAACUGAUGUGUAUAGCUCUCGCAUGACACUUAGUCAACAUUUCUUUCUCCUCUCUUAAGCAAAGUGUAAAAUUAUUCCCUUUAUGCAUGAAAAAUUAUUCUG